RNAcentral lists this long non-coding RNA (1346 nucleotides) under Astyanax mexicanus (Mexican tetra). RNAcentral describes it as "lncRNA (ENSAMXG00005004466.1)". Lineage: Eukaryota; Metazoa; Chordata; Actinopteri; Characiformes; Acestrorhamphidae. The record is from RNAcentral.
CUUAGUUCUACUUUUUUUACUAUACAUCUUUGUAAUAAUAUUUAAUCUAGAAUCAACACAAAUUAAGAAUUUAAACAACUUUAAAAGACUUUUAAAAGUUUUUAAAUGUUUGUGUCUGUUCAGUGAGGCAGGGGUGUCUGUCAUGCCUGUGUUGGGUGUGAGUGUGUGUGGAGGUCAGGCCAGGUCAGGUACACUCCUCUUCCUCCAUCUGUUUCUCCUCCUCCCUCUGUUUUUCCUCCUCCUCCCUCUGUUUGUGCGUCAGAGCUAAAGCAGCAGCAGCAGCAGCAGGGCGGAAGCGGCUCUGUGUUCAGUACUAUACUACACACUGGAUACACACCUGUGGAUCUCAUCGACAGAGAAGAAACUCUCCAGAUUCUCUACAGGAGAUUGUAUUCCUGGAAAUCCAGCCUCGACACCAGAGGAGAUACAAGAGAUACACCAGAUACACAGCACUUAAUCCACUCCCAGUGUGAACAGAGAAGAGAUGAGCAGUAGUUAUCUAAAUAGGUCAAACAGAAAGAACCAGGCUCUACCAGUCUACUGAGGAGCUUUGGUUGGAAACAGACAGUCUUUCAUGAGCAAGAUAUUGUUUAAACAGUAAAGAAGUAUUGGAGGAUUAAAACCUGACUUUUCAUUAACUCACUAACCAUAUGAUGAGCGAGUGUGCCGUACUGGAAAACCUCAGUGAAGAUGGCUUUCACAGCUGUGAGGGCUUUGCAGAUUGGUCCUCCUACAGCCCUGUACACUGGAAUGGGAAUCAGGAGGACAGCAGCAACAGUUUUGGGGACUGGAGUACUUUUAAUAGUAAUCUCAGCAAAGACAAAGAACCUGCACGCUCAGAAUCGCCUCCAGAAGAGGGACGUUCUGGUCACACACACAAGGUGGAGAAAAGUAACAAGCUCAGAUCCUCGUCUGUGUUCUAUGACUGCUUCCAUGCUGAGGAGACCAUAAAAGAUACGGCUGUAAUGGAGAUCCCGCCACUGUCCCAACUGCUGCUCAACUCAGCAUCUACACCUCCUCAACCAGCAGCACUAUCAAGUGCGGCUGCCAACCUGUGCCAGCGGCUGCUGUGUGAACCAGACUGUCUGAGCCUCUCGGGUCCCAAACCCAGAUUACACUCUUACAAACAGCUGAUCAACACACUCCAUCUCACAAACUCAGACCCAAACAUCUUCCAAAAUACAGACUUUUCUGAUCAGGAUUUUGAAGAGCAGGAAAGUUCUCCGGCUGCUCUCAUCCAGACUAAGCUAAUGGUGCCCACCCUGUGCCAGAAUAAACCAGGAUACCUCUACCAGAUCUCCCGCCAGUGGCUCAGCCAGAACAGCUUGAAUCUCCUACCACAUUAG